CUCGCAAGAGCAAAGCAGGGGACCUUCGGGCCUUGCGCUACCGGAUAUGCCCAGGUGGGAUUAGCUAGUUGGUGAGGUAAGGGCCUCACCAAGGCGACGAUCCCUAGCUGGUCUGAGAGGAUGAUCAGCCACACUGGAACUGAGACACGGUCCAGGCUCCUACGGGAGGCAGCAGUGGGGAAUAUUGCACAGUGGGCGCAAGCCUGAUGCAGCCAUGCCGCGUGUAUGAAGAAGGCCUUCGGGUU
Molecule: ribosomal RNA, 245 nt
Filed under: uncultured Vibrio sp.
Lineage: Bacteria; Pseudomonadati; Pseudomonadota; Gammaproteobacteria; Vibrionales; Vibrionaceae
Description: partial 16S ribosomal RNA
Rfam family: Bacterial small subunit ribosomal RNA
Source: RNAcentral